AACCCAUGUUGAGGAUAUUUUCGCAGGAGUUCUUUGACCCUAUCCCAUGUCUCAAAAAGAGACCCCAAUUCCAUUUGCGCAAAAGAGGAUAUUCAUUACUGAGCUU
This is a small nucleolar RNA of Dioscorea cayenensis subsp. rotundata (Guinea yam), 106 nucleotides long. Lineage: Eukaryota; Viridiplantae; Streptophyta; Magnoliopsida; Dioscoreales; Dioscoreaceae. The record is from RefSeq and is a predicted model, not a curated record.